Molecule: non-coding RNA, 2880 nt
Organism: Corchorus olitorius
Lineage: Eukaryota; Viridiplantae; Streptophyta; Magnoliopsida; Malvales; Malvaceae
Source: Rfam
GAAAAAAAUCCAUAAGAAACCCCUUUGGUAAGAUUUUCUUUAGUAUAAUUUGGCUUUGAUUUAUUUCCACCUUCUCUGUGGGAUUCGACCCCUACUUGCCCUAGCUCUUAGUCAUUGGUUUGAAGGGAUUUAUCUUGUAAUUUGAUCAAUGACUCGAUCAGUGACUGAUAUCGAAGUAGUACCGUGAGGGAAGGGUGAAAAGAACCCCCGUCGGGGAUUGAAAUAGAACAUGAAACCGUAAGCUCCUAAGCAGUGGAGGAGCCCAGGGCUCUGACCGCGUGCCUGUUGAAGAAUGAGCCGGCGACUCAUAGGCAAUGGCUUCGUUAAGGGAACCGACCGGAGCCGUAGCGAAAGUGAGUCUUCAUAGGGAAAUUGUCACUGCUUAUGGACCCGAACCUAGGUGGUUUAUCCAUGACCAGGAUGAAACUUGGGUGAAACUAAGUGGAGGUCUGAAUCAACUGAUGUUGAAUAAUCAGCGGAUGAGUUGUGGUUAGGGGUCAAAUGCCACUCGAACCCAAAGCUAGGUGGUUCUCCCUGAAAUGCGUUGAGGUGCAGUAGUUGACUGGACAUCUAGGGGUAAAGCACUGUUUCGGUGCGGGCCGCGAGAGCGGUACCAAAUCAAGGCAAACUCUAAAUACUAGAUAUGACCUCAAAAUAACAAGGGUCGAGGUCCGCCAGUGAGACAAUGCGGGAUAAUCUUCAUCGUGGAGAGGGAAAGAGCCCGGAUCACCAGUUAAGGCCGCUAAAUGACCGCUCAGUGAUAAAGGAGAUAGGGGUGUAGAGACAGCCAGGUGGUUUGCCUAGAAGCAGCCACCCUUGAAAGAGUGCGUAAUAGCUCAAUGAUUGAGCGCUCUUGCGCUGAAGAUGAACGGGGCUAAGCGAUCUAUCGAAGUUGUGGGAUGUAAAAAUGCAUCGGUAGGUGAGCGUUCCGCCUUAGGGGGAAGUGCCCGAAAACGAGAAUGUCGUAGACGAAGCGGAAGCGAGAAUGUCGGCUUGAGUAACGCAAACAUUAGUGAGAAUCCAAUGCCCCGAAAACCCAAGGGUUCCUCCGCAAGGUUCGUCCACGGAGGGUGAGUCAGUGCCUAAGAUCAGGCUGAAAGGCAUAGUCGAUGGACAACAGGUGAAUAUUUCUCUACUAGCCCUUGUUGGUCCCGAGGGACGGAGGAGGCUACGUUAGUUGAAAGAUGGUUAUCAGUUCAUAGAGAAAAUGCCUCGAGCCGAUGUUCGAGUACCAGGCGCUACGGCACUGAAGUAACCCAUGCUAUACUCCCAGGAAAAGCUCGAACGACCUUCAACAAAAGGGUACAUGUACCCGAAACCGACACAGGUGGGUAGGUAGAGAAUACCCAGGGGCACGAGACAACUCUCUUUAAUGAACUCGGCAAAAUAGACCCGUAACUUCGGGAGAAGGGGUGCCUCCUCACAAAGGGGGUCGCAGUGACCAGGCCCGAGCGACUGUUAACCAAAAACACAGGUCUCCGCAAAGUCGUAAGACCAUGUAUGGGGGCUGACGCCUACCCAGUGCCGGAAGGUCAAGGAAGUUGGUGACCUGAUGACAGGGGAGCCACCGACCGAAGCCUAGUGAACGGCAGCCGUAACUAUAACAGUCCUAAGGUAGCAAAAUUCCUUGUUGGGUAAGUUCCGACCCGCACGAAAGGCGUAACGAUCUGGGACUGUCUCGGAGAGAGGCUCAGUGAAAUAGACUUGUCUAUGAAGAUGCGGACUACCCGCACCUAGACAGAAAGACCCUAUGAAGCAUCACUGUUCCCUGGGAUUGGCUUUGGGCUUUUCAUGUGCAGCUUAGGUGGAAGGCAAAGAAGGCCUCCUUCCCGAGGGGUGGGGGGGGGGGUGAGCAAUCAGUGAUAUACCAUUCUGGAAGAGCUAGAAUUCUAACCUUGUGUCAAGACCUACGACGGUGGGCGUAGCCCAGUGAACGUCGGCCGUAACUAUAACAGUCUUAUGGUAGCGAAAUUCCUUGGCGGGUAAGUUCCGACUCGCACGAAAGGCAUAACGAUCUGGACACUGUCUCGGAGAGAGGCUCGAUCAAAUGGACUUGUCUGUGAAGAUGCGGACUACCCGCACCUGGACAGAAAGACCCCAUGAAGCUUCACUGUUCCCUUGGAUUGGCUUUGGGCUUUUCCUGCGCAGCUUAGGUGGAAGGCAAAGAAGGCCUCCUUCCGGGGGGGGGGCCGAGCCAUCAGUGAGAUACCACUCUGGAAGAGCUAGAAAUCUAACCUUGUGUCAGGACCUACGGGGGCGUAGGCCUCCCAAAAGGUAACGGAGGCGUGCAAAGGUUUCCUCGUGCCUGACGGAGAUUGGCCCUCGAGUGCAAAGGCAGAAGGGAGCUUGACUACAAGACCCACCCAUCGAGGAGGGACGAAAGUCGGCCUUAGAGAUCCGACGGUGCCGAGGGGAAGGGCUGUCACUCAAUAGAUAAAAGUUACUCUAGGGAUAACAGGCUGAUCUUCCCUAAGAGCUCACAUCGACGAGAAGGUUUGCCACCUCGAUGUCGGCUCUUCGCCACCUGGGGCUGUAGUAAGUUCCAAGGGUUGGGUUGUGCGCCCAUUAAAGCGGUACGUGAGCUGGGUUCAGAAUGUCGUGAGACAGUUCGGUCCAUAUCCAGUGUAGGCGUUAGAGCAUUGAUAGGACCUUUCCCUAAUACGAGAGGACCAGGAAGGACGCACCUCUGGUGUACCAGUUAUCAUGCCCACGGUAAAUGCUUGGUAGCCAAGUGCAGAGCGGAUAACUGCUGAAAGCAUCUAAGUAGAGGUGAGUGCUCACCCCAAGAUGAGUGUUCUCCUAUUCCAACUUCCCCAGAGCAUCCGGUAGCACAGCCGAGACGGCUAUGGGUUCUCUGUCCCUUCAUCUUUUUUUUUUCUC